This 402-nucleotide ribosomal RNA is filed under the name bacterium. RNAcentral describes it as "partial 16S ribosomal RNA". It matches the Rfam family "Bacterial small subunit ribosomal RNA", at positions 355 to 776 of the family's 1533-position model. The record is from RNAcentral.
UGGGGAAUUUUGCACAAUGGGGGAAACCCUGAUGCAGCGACGCCGCGUGAUUUAGAAGGCCUUCGGGUUGUAAAAAUCUUUUUUAUGGGAAGAAAAUGACAGUACCAUAGGAAUAAGGACCGGCUAAUUACGUGCCAGCAGCCGCGGUAAUACGUAAGGUCCGAGCGUUGUCCGGAAUCAUUGGGCGUAAAGGGUACGUAGGCGGGUAAGCAAGUUAGAAGUGAAAUCCUAUAGCUCAACUAUAGUAAGCUUUUAAAACUGCUCAUCUUGAGGUAUGGAAGGGAAAGUGGAAUUCCUGGUGUAGCGGUGAAAUGCGCAGAUAUUAGGAGGAAUACCGGUGGCGAAGGCGACUUUCUGGCUAUAACCUGACGCUGAGGUACGAAAGCGUGGGUAGCAAACAGG